This 1249-nucleotide ribosomal RNA is filed under the name Klebsiella aerogenes. Its description in RNAcentral is "bacterial SSU rRNA". It matches the Rfam family "Bacterial small subunit ribosomal RNA", at positions 37 to 1276 of the family's 1533-position model. The record is from RNAcentral. Lineage: Bacteria; Pseudomonadati; Pseudomonadota; Gammaproteobacteria; Enterobacterales; Enterobacteriaceae.
UGGCGACAAAUCAAGAAGUGCUCCAGCAAGUCGAGCGGUAGAUCACAGAGAAGCUUGCUCUCGGGUGACGAGCGGCGGACGGGUGAGUAAUGUCUGGGAAACUGCCUGAUGGAGGGGGAUAACUACUGGAAACGGUAGCUAAUACCGCAUAACGUCGCAAGACCAAAGUGGGGGACCUUCGGGCCUCAUGCCAUCAGAUGUGCCCAGAUGGGAUUAGCUAGUAGGUGGGGUAAUGGCUCACCUAGGCGACGAUCCCUAGCUGGUCUGAGAGGAUGACCAGCCACACUGGAACUGAGACACGGUCCAGACUCCUACGGGAGGCAGCAGUGGGGAAUAUUGCACAAUGGGCGCAAGCCUGAUGCAGCCAUGCCGCGUGUAUGAAGAAGGCCUUCGGGUUGUAAAGUACUUUCAGCGAGGAGGAAGGCGUUAAGGUUAAUAACCUUGGUGAUUGACGUUACUCGCAGAAGAAGCACCGGCUAACUCCGUGCCAGCAGCCGCGGUAAUACGGAGGGUGCAAGCGUUAAUCGGAAUUACUGGGCGUAAAGCGCACGCAGGCGGUCUGUCAAGUCGGAUGUGAAAUCCCCGGGCUCAACCUGGGAACUGCAUUCGAAACUGGCAGGCUAGAGUCUUGUAGAGGGGGGUAGAAUUCCAGGUGUAGCGGUGAAAUGCGUAGAGAUCUGGAGGAAUACCGGUGGCGAAGGCGGCCCCCUGGACAAAGACUGACGCUCAGGUGCGAAAGCGUGGGGAGCAAACAGGAUUAGAUACCCUGGUAGUCCACGCCGUAGACGAUGUCGACUUGGAGGUUGUGCCCUUGAGGCGUGGCUUCCGGAGCUAACGCGUUAAGUCGACCGCCUGGGGAGUACGGCCGCAAGGUUAAAACUCAAAUGAAUUGACGGGGGCCCGCACAAGCGGUGGAGCAUGUGGUUUAAUUCGAUGCAACGCGAAGAACCUUACCUACUCUUGACAUCCAGAGAACUUAGCAGAGAUGCUUUGGUGCCUUCGGGAACUCUGAGACAGGUGCUGCAUGGCUGUCGUCAGCUCGUGUUGUGAAAUGUUGGGUUAAGUCCCGCAACGAGCGCAACCCUUAUCCUUUGUUGCCGCGGUUCGGCCGGGAACUCAAAGGAGACUGCCAUCUAUAACUGCAGGAAGGUGGGGAUGGCGUCAAGUCAUCUGGCCCUUUCCAAUAGGGGUCCCCCCUCCUACAAGGCCUUUUCAAGAAAAAACGACCCCCCAAAAACAGCCGACCCCU